GACGAACGCUGGCGGCGUGCUUAACACAUGCAAGUCGAACGGAAAGGCCCUGCUUUUGUGGGGUGCUCGAGUGGCGAACGGGUGAGUAACACGUGAGUAACCUGCCCUUGACUUUGGGAUAACUUCAGGAAACUGGGGCUAAUACCGGAUAGGAGCUCCUGCUGCAUGGUGGGGGUUGGAAAGUUUCGGCGGUUGGGGAUGGACUCGCGGCUUAUCAGCUUGUUGGUGGGGUAGUGGCUUACCAAGGCUUUGACGGGUAGCCGGCCUGAGAGGGUGACCGGCACAAUGGGGAAGGAGAAACGGCCCAAGCUCCUGCGGGGGGAAGAGGUGGGGAAUAUGACAAAUAGGGGGGAAGCAUAGGGCGGGAAGGCGGGGUGGGGGAGGAGGGCCUUGGGGUGGAAAACCGUUUUCGCCGGUGACGAGGGGUGAGGGCAGGAAAUGGUGAAAAAAGAACGGGAGAACUACGG
RNAcentral lists this ribosomal RNA (467 nucleotides) under uncultured bacterium. RNAcentral's name for it is "partial 16S ribosomal RNA". It matches the Rfam family "Bacterial small subunit ribosomal RNA", at positions 28 to 506 of the family's 1533-position model. The record is from RNAcentral.